RNAcentral lists this ribosomal RNA (812 nucleotides) under uncultured marine euryarchaeote. Its description in RNAcentral is "bacterial SSU rRNA". It matches the Rfam family "Archaeal small subunit ribosomal RNA", at positions 78 to 907 of the family's 1478-position model. Lineage: Archaea; Methanobacteriati; Methanobacteriota. The record is from RNAcentral.
UCGGCAUACUGCUCAGUAACACGUGGAUAACCUGCCCUAUCGUCUGGAAUAACCUCGGGAAACUGAGAAUAAGGCCGGAUAGUUCACAAUGCCUGGAACGGUUUGUGAAUCAAGGUAGGAUGGGUCUGCGGCGUGUCAGGUUGUAGGGGGUGUAAAGGACCCCCUAGCCUUCGACGCGUACGGGUGUUGGGAGACAUAGCCCGGAGAUGGAUUCUGAGACACGAAUCCAGACCCUACGGGGUGCAGCAGGCGCGAAAACUUCACACUGCAGGAAACUGUGAUGAGGGAACUCCUAGUGCAUGCACUAUGUGUAUGUAGAUCCUACUCUUAACAAGUAGAGGGAAAGGGCUGGGAAAGACCGGUGCCAGCCGCCGCGGUAAUACCGGCAGCUCAAGUGGUCGUCGCUUUUAUUGGGCCUAAAACGUCCGUAGCCUGUUUGGUAAAUCUGUGGGUAAAUCAAUCCGCUCAACGGAUUGAAUUCUGCAGAGACUGCCAGACUAGGGACCGGGAGAGGUGUGGGGUACUCGAGGGGUAGGGGUAAAAUCCUGUCAUCCUUCGAGGACCACCAGUUGCGAAGGCGCCACACUGGAACGGAUCCGACGGUCAGGGACGAAGCCUAGGGGCACGAACCGGAUUAGAUACCCGGGUAGUCCUAGGUGUAAACGCUGUGAACUUGGUGUCGGGGGUCCGCAAGGGGUCCCCGGUGCCGGAGUGAAGAUGUUAAGUUCACUGCCUGGGGAGUACGGUCGCAAGGCUGAAACUUAAAGGAAUUGGCGGGGGAGCACUGCAACGGAGGAGCGUGCGGUUUAAUU